Molecule: ribosomal RNA, 403 nt
Filed under: Trimeresurus albolabris (white-lipped tree viper)
Lineage: Eukaryota; Metazoa; Chordata; Lepidosauria; Squamata; Viperidae
Description: partial 12S ribosomal RNA
Source: RNAcentral
CCAUAACCACACAAUCAAACUACAAAUUGUUCGCCAAACAACUACGAGUAAUACUUAAAACUUAAAAGACUUGACGGUACUUCACCCCGACCUAGAGGAGCCUGUCUAAUAACCGAUAACCCACGAUUAACCCAACCACUUCUUGCCCUACAGUCUAUAUACCGCCGUCGCCAGCUUACCUUGUAAAAGAAAUAAAGUGAGCCAAAUAGUAACACACUAAAACGACAGGUCGAGGUGUAACCUAUGAAGAGGCUAAGAUGGGCUACAUUCUCUAACAGAGAAUACGAACAACACUAUGAAAUUAGUGUUCGAAGGCGGAUUUAGCAGUAAGAUAAGAAUAGAACACCUAACUGAAAAUAACGCAAUGAAGUGCGCACACACCGCCCGUCACCCCUGCCACCAC